This is a long non-coding RNA of Paramisgurnus dabryanus, 1102 nucleotides long. RefSeq lists it as uncharacterized. The record is from RefSeq and is a predicted model, not a curated record. NCBI's taxonomy places the organism in Eukaryota, Metazoa, Chordata, Actinopteri, Cypriniformes, Cobitidae.
AAUACUUAAUAAUGCACAAGCAUAGAUUGUACCCAGAAGGUGCCUGCUCACACAUUGUCUGUACUGUUUUAGCAGUGAAAAAGAAUACCCAGAGACAAGGCACGGGUGGUGGGUCACCAAAAGCUGACCUCACCCCAGCAGAGGCCAGUUUUGGAGCUAAAUAAAGGCAGGCCUGUUGGAGGGGAUCCCUGGGGGAAAAGAGACAAGCAUAGGUCCCUCACAAGAUGCCACCCGCUUCAUACAAGUGUCUGGCAGCACUGUGUUACUGUUAAAGCCACCAGCACGAGCACCUGACGAUGCUGAUCCAGUGAGUACUCCAUCAAAGGCAUACUGUAGGCCUGGCAUGUCUUGUCUACUAGCUUCAAUAUGAAUCCGAUUAAAUGUGAUGGGGUCAAGGCCCCAUUUCAUCAGCACAUAACGGCGAUGAUGAUGAGGAGACCAUCUCGCUGGAUUCCAAAAGGCAUAAGGACCCAGAGUCAUUGGUGCACUGGACUGCACAAACAUAAGGAUAAAAGCCCCCUCAGUCCAUGACUCCAGAAUCUUUUGGACCUCUGAAAUCUAUCAGCGCCUAUCACAAGGUGAAUUCUCUGGUGUGUUGCUGGGAGACAGGGGGUAUGGCUGCCAGCCGUUUUUCCUGACACCUUUCACAGACCCCCAGGAAGCACAGCAGGCCUACAACUAUGCCCAUGCUAGGGCCAGAGUUGAAAUGACCUUUGGCCUCCUGAAGGCACGCUCUCACUGCCUUCACAAAUUAAGGGUCAGCCCUGUGAGGGAUUGUGACAUUACUGUGGCUUGUGGUGUCCUCCACAAUGUGGCCUGCCUGAGGAAGGAGAGGGCACCCAGAGUGCCGCCAGCCAUGGACUGGGACAAUCCGGAAAUCUUCUCUGAUGACAACAGUGGUCGGCUGCUGAGGGACCAAUAUGUGUUGAAUUAUUUUAGUCAGUAUGUGUGCUUUCACAUUUUUUUGAUGUUUGUGCUGUAUACUGUGUGUAUACUGUUUGUAAUACAAGCUUGCAGGGAGGCUACUGCAUUCAUUAAUUGUCUUGUUUUCAGUUGUCUGAAAUUGUCUGUUCAGUUAAUGUGCAUGAAUUUGUCCUGCAUU